This is a long non-coding RNA of Homo sapiens (human), 563 nucleotides long. Ensembl annotates it as DOCK8 antisense RNA 2. Its record names the gene DOCK8-AS2. Lineage: Eukaryota; Metazoa; Chordata; Mammalia; Primates; Hominidae. The record is from Ensembl.
AUUCAGGCAUGCUCAUGAGAACACGCUGCUCCAGCUGGACUUAGAGGAACCCGGUGCAUCACAGGCAUUCCUGACAGAGUCUCGUGGUCCUGCUGGUCCACUCAGUGGUGAAAUGCCAUCACAUCCUUCAUACUCAUAUUUUUAGGACCAUAGGAGACCCAAUAUAUCUGUCUGUAUUGCAAUAAAUUACAAGGCUUUGACCAAAGACCCAGUUCCUAACUGACUGCUCUUGAAGCCAGCUCCACUGCAGAAUUAAGGAACAGAGAUGAGACUUGUCUGACAUGGGGAACUGUCACAGGAUAAUACCUUUGAAAAGCCUGGUUUUAGAACUUGCCUCUCUCAAUUUGAGGCAGUGUAUGUUUUUAAGUUUCUAAAAAUAAGAUAUUAUAAGAUUUGUAACAUUACAAUGACUGCCAAUGCAAAGAACCUCUGGGACUCUAGUGCAUCAGUGGAAUAUCAGCACAUUGAUGGACAUGUGGACUAUUUGGAUUCAGAAGACCUGGUUUGAGCUCAUCUCUGCUGCCAACUGUCUGUGUGACCUUAAGUAAAAUUAUCUCCUCUCU